UACGUAGGUGUCGAGCGUUGUCCGGAUUUAUUGGGCGUAAAGAGCCCGCAGGCGGCCUGGUAAGUUCGAGGUGAAAUCUCCCGGCUUAACUGGGAGGGUGCCUCGAAAACUAUCAGGCUUGAGGCAUGGAGAGGGAUGCAGAAUUCCAGGUGUAGCGGUGAAAUGCGUAGAUAUCUGGAGGAAUACCAGUGGCGAAGGCGGCAUCCUGGCCAUGUCCUGACGCUCAGGGGCGAAAGCGUGGGGAGCAAACCGG
RNAcentral lists this ribosomal RNA (253 nucleotides) under uncultured bacterium. Its description in RNAcentral is "partial 16S ribosomal RNA". It matches the Rfam family "Bacterial small subunit ribosomal RNA", at positions 524 to 776 of the family's 1533-position model. The record is from RNAcentral.